GAUGAACGCUGGCGGCGUGCUUAACACAUGCAAGUCGAACGGAAAGGCUCCUGCUUGCAGGGGUACUCGAGUGGCGAACGGGUGAGUAACACGUGGGUGAUCUGCCCUGCACUUCGGGAUAAGCCUGGGAAACUGGGUCUAAUACCGGAUAGGACCACAUUUUGGAUGGUGUGGUGGAAAGUUUUUCGGUGUGGGAUGAGCUCGCGGCCUAUCAGCAUGUUGGUGGGGUAAUGGCCUACCAAGGCGUCGACGGGUAGCCGGCCUGAGAGGGUGUACGGCCACAUUGGGACUGAGAUACGGCCCAGACUCCUACGGGAGGCAGCAGUGGGGAAUAUUGCACAAUGGGCGCAAGCCUGAUGCAGCGACGCCGCGUGGGGGAUGACGGCCUUCGGGUUGUAAACUCCUUUCGCUAGGGACGAAGCGUUUUUGUGACGGUACCUGGAGAAGAAGCACCGGCUAACUACGUG
RNAcentral lists this ribosomal RNA (467 nucleotides) under uncultured bacterium. RNAcentral describes it as "partial 16S ribosomal RNA". It matches the Rfam family "Bacterial small subunit ribosomal RNA", at positions 28 to 507 of the family's 1533-position model. The record is from RNAcentral.